GUCGAAUACCAAAAAACUCAAACGGCAUUCAUACGUGUGUCGGGGACUGGAGUGGGAGGUGGCCGUAUAAUUCGGCUCCAACGCUGGAUGUGGACGUCGCGAAUUCGGAUGAACUUUACUCGUAAAUUUGAUAUUCUUACCAUGGCCAGCCAUGUGUAUUUAGAAACAUUUCGGCUAUAACUGUUGCACUUUUGGCCAAGUGACUUUCUUAAUGUCUAACAAUUGGGCAAUAUUAUUUGAAGUGCACGAAUUCGAAAAUGAACCUUGUGUUGUGCCCUUUUGUCACAUGGUCGGACAUUUUCACACCAAAACUGCAGUAGACAUUCAACACCAAAUUUACUGUUGAGCCUGGACCAUUUUGUCUUGAGUUUACGAAAUUCUCUAACUCCGACAUAAACAGACUUUAAAAGCAAUUGUUAGGUUCGGUGCCUGCUGUGGCUUGAGAAGCCUUUGAUAAAUUGCCUCAGACUGCAGUUUAAAACUUCAAGACCGCCGGGAAGCUGGACGGGAACAUCGCAUCGACCAAACGACAUCUUGUGUUGUGAAGGUCCCCACCACCCCCAUAGACCUGAGGCAGACCCAGCAGCCAGUAGAAAGAUCUUGUCCAGCCAAGCUUCAAAAGAAAAGAUAGAACUUUCUCUCGAUUGAACUGUUUCCUGAUAGAACUGUUUCCUGAUAGAGCUGUUUCUCAAUAGAACUGUUUCCUGAUAGAGCUGUUUCUCGAUGGAACUGUUUCCUGAUAGAACUGUUUCUCGAUGGAACUGUUUCUCGAUAGAACCGUUUCUUGAUGGAACUGUUUCUCGAUAGAACCGUUUCUUGAUAGAACUGUUUCUCGAUAGAACUGUUUCCUGAGUUCAAGAAAGAUAACAUUUUUGUGCUGCUGUCUCCAGAUGGGAGUUGAAGAUCUAUGGAUGUGGUAUGUGUGUGUGUUUUAUCUAUGGAUCCGGAUUGCAAGUCGCCAAACAAAGGAGAGGUAACAUAAGUUUUGCCGAAUCCGACCUCCACUUUUUAAAUUGCCUGUGCAAUACAUCUCGUUGAUAUAAAAAUGAUGGACUUUAAACAAUUUGUUUGUCUGAUUAACUGGCAAAAAAAAGGCCUAGCAAAGACACCGUACUUAUUUCUAGUUUAUCCAACUUUUACUUCUGUUUAUUGGAAAAUAAAUUCAUUGUGUUUUUACAUGAUGUGUAAAUUAGUUGAAAUGAAUUUAAAGUAUAUAACACUCUCUUAUAUAAUGAGUUGUAAAGUUUCUGGAAAAAAAAACAAUUUUAAUAAAUAUAAGUUGAUUAUUGAUAGAGCGCAUAGUGGAGGUCGGAUAACGCAAUUUGACCUUCAAGACAAAGACAAUAGAGAGUGAAGUCUUCGAAUGGUAAGAGAAGAUCUAACCCGUUCUCUUGCAGAGUCCAUCCCCUCAUACUGCCCCUUGCCCCACAAUCUGCGAUCUUGUUGAUGUUGUCCUUGCUUGUAGAGCUUUCAAGGUGACUUCAUAGUUUCUUGGCAUUUCUUGAUUGGCAUAUUGGUCGAAGCCAAUGAUGCUUUUUAGUUAGGAGACUACUCUAACUGGAAAUUCUUGGGUUCGGCACUUCAAGUCAUCAGUUGUCAUGUUUAUUUAAAAUUGUCAUGAUUUUAUAUAAAUUAGCAUAACGUUUAAAAAAUAAUUAAGUACAUUUAGUAUGUUUAGAAGUAAUCGUGCAGUCAAAUAAUAGGUCCAGUCAACAUUCAUUUGAUGAUCAGUGUUUGAUUUAAGAGUAAUUAAUUGACAAUUUAGACCAACUAAAUUACAAUUAAUAUUCUUAAUAUCAGCAUUACAUCAGUUCUGAAUGUAGACAUUUUCAACUGACCAUAAAUCUUUGAAAAUUAGGUCCAGUCAACAUUCAUUUGAUGAUUAGUGUUUGAUUUAAGAGUAAUUAAUUGACAAUUUAGACCAACUAAAUUACAAUUAAUGUUCUUAAUAUCAGCAUUACAUCACUGUUCUGAAUGUAGACAUUUUCAACUGACCAAAAAUCUUUUAAAAUUAAAAAAAUAUAAGACAAAAAAUUAGCCCUUCAAGCCUUGAUCAUUUAAAUCAAAGUUCAAGUAAAGUUUUAAAAAAAGGGGGGACUUCUACCAAACAACAAGUUUUUUUUUAAAGCUUAAGCGCUGUAGUCCACAAAUGCAAGUAAAUUAUCUAGACCUUAUUUGUAAGCGCUGCGAAAAAAGAAAGAAAAAAAAAGACUGAAGACGCUGCGAAAAGAAAAAAAAAUCAAGACUAAAGAUCCUUGAUACCUAGGUAUGUAUGAGUGGUAAGACAGUAAAGGCCUAGAAAUGAGACUAACUCUCCACUGUUUCAUUCAACAGGUGUACUGGUGAUAGGUAUAAGUAUAAGGCAUGACUGAUAUUGGUACUUAGUCUUGAUUCAAGAUGCUCAAUCUCAAUUUCUUUGUGGUGACACAACUUUGUGCUAAGGAUAGUAAAAGAAAGUCCUUAAAAAAUAAAGCCUUGAACCAAAAUUAAGAACUAUGCCAUCAUCAGUUACUGCAACACUUGAGUAGAACAUUAAAACUCUCCCUUUGACGUCCAUGGUGAGUGACUGGAUGCAAGUGAGGUCGGAUGUUUCCAGCAGAGGUUAAGUAUAACUGGUGAUGUAUCAGGUUAAAGCCAAAUUAGUGAACCUCAAAUUCUAACCUUUCUAGAUAAGUUUUUUUCCCCUAAGCAGAUCUUGUUUUCUGAGGAUGACUAUAAGUAGUGUGUGCUGAAAUCCUUACUGAGCAGAGAUGAUCCUACCAGCAGAGACUUGGGUCAUGCAAAAGAUUUGGUAAUGUAUCAGGUUAUAUAAGUUACUAAACCACCUUUCACAUGAGAGAAAUUUAGCAAUGGUCCCUUGCUAAAUUGUAGCAUGGUUGCAAUUUUUUUUUUGACUGUUCAAGCCAUCAGCAGUCAAAAUACGUGUAUCGUUUGAGAUUAUACAAAAGCAUAAUGAACGACCAGCCAACCUCCGAAGUAAAACAACUCAGGAACCCGUUAGAUCCAAUUGAAUGAAAUAUUUUCUGAAACAAUAGAAGUCUAUUCUUCGUGCAAUUUGUUAUAAAGAUUUGUUUAAAUGCUUAAGAUAAAUUAGUAUGUGCCUAAUAAAUUUCCCUUAAUUCGGCAGUUUCUUGUAGGGUGGUGACUACAACUGGAACUGUUUGGAGGAGCAUCAUUGGAGGACAAAUUGAGUGGUGUCUAUCAACCGGACCCUUUUUGAUGAGCAUUGUUGGAAGAUUCUGGUGUCAACAACAUAUCUCUUAGUGACUUUGAAAAAAAUAACUUCUAAAAGCUUUCUUUGAAGAGAAGGUUUAUCCCCAAGUUUUGCAAAGAAUUUUUUAUUCCAGAAUUGGAACCUAGUGAAGGUUUCAUCAAGUCGUCAGUUUUGAAAGAAUAACAUUACAACCAACUGUGGAAUAGGAGGUCAAGAUAAAAAAAAACAAAAAAAAACAAUUAAAAACAAAUGAAAACAAGUAAUGUUGUGCAUGCAUGUUCAAUGAAUUGAAGAAAUGAUUGGAGCUGGAGGAAUUUUCUUGCAAAUGCAAGAAGCAUUCAGAUUUGUCUAUUUCUCAGAACAACUGAUAUAAUACUUGUAUUAAAAGAUGUUUUCAAAAAUAAAUCGAAAAUUGUGUACUUUUCGACCACAGAUUGAGAUGAUGACCUUCGAGAUGACAUACACCAAUCUUGAGGCUAAUGAAAGCUUUAUGGACUGUGCCACCAUCUUAAGAGGGACUGCAUGAAGAUGACAUCCUUACUGAGCUGAGACGAUGCCUACCAGUUGGAACUGGUCAUGCAAAAGAUUUGUUUCUUGUGGAGAGGUUACUACAUACUGGACCAGUUCAGAUGAGCAUCGAUGGAAGACGAAGGUGAACAACAGAUCGCUUGGCUGAGACGAUGACCUUGGAUAUAAAGUACAACCAAAUCUUGAGGCCAAUCAAUGCUUUUUGGACUGUGCCGCCAUCUGAAGAAGGACUGUGUCAAGUUUAGCCAGGUGACUCCCCGGGGCUAUCUAACACUUUUUGAACUGUUGUUCCACCAGCUAAAAGACUAUGCCAAGUCUAGCUUGCUGACUCUCCACUACAAGUUCAAGUAAUGUUGAUGCUAACUAAUGCUUUUGGACUAUGUCAAAUCUACCUUUAUGACUUUAUGGCAAGUUCAACUCUUCAAGUGACUCUGGACAAUAUUGCUAACUAAUGCUUCUUGGAGUGUGUACCACCAGCUGAAUGACUGUGUCAAAUCUACCUGGUUGUCUCUCUGCUACAAGUUUAUCAUUCUAGUGACUUUGGGAUGUUGAGGCUCCCCACUGCUCUCAUUCUAGCUAGAGGACUCUCCGCAACAAGUUCAACCUUUCAACGAUGUCACCAACCGAAGAAAGACCAUGUGCAAAGAGUCAAUACAAGACCGCUUGAUUGAGAUGGUAACCUUGGAGACAUAUACCCAAUCUUGAGACUAAUCAACGCUUUUUGGAUUGUGUGCCACCAACUGAAGGAGGAUUGUGUCAAGUCUAUCCAGAUGACUCCUCCGUUACGAGAUAAACUGUUGACAUUUGAAUAUUGCGACUAAACAUUUUUUUGCUUUUUGAACCGUGUGCCACCAGCUGAUGAAGAACUGUUAAAUAUAUAGCUAGAUUAAGUGACGGCUGUUGAGUCUAACUCAACUUGUGGAUUGUGUACCACCAACUGAAGAAGGACUGCGUCAAGUCUAACCAGCUGACUCUGCUACAAAUUCACUUGUUGAAUUGACAUUGGGAUGAACAUUCUGCUUUUUGGUCUGCGUGCCAUCAACUGAAGGACUGUGCCAAGUCUAGCCAGAUGACUCAAGUCUCUACUACAAUUAUUGCAAUCAUUCAAGUGAAAUCUGGACGCGAGCGAACUACUCCUUUUGUAGACUGUGUGCCACCACCACCAGCUGUAGGACUUUGUCAAGUCCAGCUACAUGUACAUGGCUCUCCGCUACAAGUUUGAAUGUUCAAGUGCCAUGGGACGUUGAUGGUACAUUUGAACCCAACAUUUUUUGGACUCUCACCAAAAUGGACAAAGACUUUGUCAAGCCAACCCAGAAGAUUACCAACAUUUUCAACAGGCUGGACCAUGAUGGCGCUUUACUGUAGUAAGACACUGAACAAUGAGGGAGAGACCAGCUUAAGCCCGGUUCAUACUUCCUGCAAAUGCGAAUGCGAUAUACAUGUAUCACAUUCGCAUUGACUGAAUUUGCGGUUGCGGCUGUGGCUGAAGCUGUUGCUAUGGGCCUCAUAUUAUGCUUUAAUGCAUGUUCACAGGCCAUCAAGCCACAUCCACAGCCACUAAUUCAGAUCUGACCUUAGUGUAUGUUUACUCAAUGGGCUUUUCUUGAAUCCAUCAAACUCUGGUACCAGUUUGUAUGUAUAGCUCAGUGCUCGAUUUCGCAAAAAGCUACAAUUGAUCCUAACUGCGAAUCAAUCGCGAAGCAAAGUGUGAUGUCACAAUACAAAUCACUGUGGUAAUACUGCACACUCAUCUUUAGAUGAGUCUUAGUGCAUUAGUUGAUGUGAUUUGAUUCGAUAACAUUGGCACACCAAAAUUAAACUAAAAAGUCAUCAAACUGUUCUCAGACAGUUAGAAAUCAUUGCAAGAAAAGCUCAGGUUAAGUGAUUUUUAUUACGGAACAAACUUUGAGAAUAAUUUGGUUGAUGAAGGUAGAAUACCGGAUAACAUCUUUUGAGAAAAUUAAAAUGUCAUUGUUUGUAAAUAUGUAGGUUUUUUGAGGUGAUAAAUUUCGUUUUGUAAGAUUACAUGUAAGAAUGUAUGCUCCUGGGAAGUUGAGAAAGCUAAAAGAAUGGUCUUAAAGGGAAAGUACACUAUUGGUAAUUGUCAAAGAAUAGUGUUCUCACUUGGUGUACAAACUGUAUCUC
This is a long non-coding RNA of Asterias rubens (European starfish), 5890 nucleotides long. RefSeq lists it as uncharacterized. The transcript is spliced from 5 exons. NCBI's taxonomy places the organism in Eukaryota, Metazoa, Echinodermata, Asteroidea, Forcipulatida, Asteriidae. The record is from RefSeq and is a predicted model, not a curated record.